CAGGCUCUGGUUUACUCACUGGAUGCAAAAUGAAGGUGUGGGGCUGCUUCCGAGGUUUUCAGUCUGAAUCACCGGGACAGCUAAUGAGAUGAAGAUGGACAAGUUGAAGAAACGUCACAGGAGCCCAAGAGGCUGGCCAGAGAGCCCAGGACUCAGUUCCUCUGUGGGAAGGCACACACACUCUGUAAGUUAUAGCUCUGGGUCCCAGUCUGUCUCACUGGGUAUGGGCCUUCCAAAUCCCCAUCUUUCAAGGGUUCCUUCCUCCAAAAUCUGUCCUCAUCUCCCCAGCCACAAUCACCUGCUUUUUCCUCUACAACCUUGUUAGCCAGCCAUUUGAAUGUCCAUCUCCUGCACUAGACAGAAGUAGGGGCUGUUCCACCUUUGUUCUCCGGAGUGCCUG
This 400-nucleotide long non-coding RNA is filed under the name Homo sapiens (human). Its description in RNAcentral is "HSALNT0032499". The record is from RNAcentral. Lineage: Eukaryota; Metazoa; Chordata; Mammalia; Primates; Hominidae.